This 395-nucleotide long non-coding RNA is filed under the name Mytilus galloprovincialis (Mediterranean mussel). The record is from RNAcentral. Lineage: Eukaryota; Metazoa; Mollusca; Bivalvia; Mytilida; Mytilidae.
GUGAUUAUCGUAUUGAAGUCGCAGAAUAAGCGUCAUGAGAACGUGACCCGUAAAGGGAUCUUUGUAGAAGCGUAAUGAGGAUGUAGUAGCAUCGUGAAAACAAUAAAAAUCGAAACUUUCAUCCUGCUCGUAUCAUGACCUAACCUUUUAGAUCGCGGUGAGCGUGGUGCUAUAGUGGUUUAGUGUGACAUGGGCAUAACACAUGCUCCUUGUUUUUCUACCUUUUCUAUUUAUCAAAAUGAGCAACUGUUCUCAUCUUGUAUUUUUGGUACCGUACGUUACCUGCUUUCAUCGUGUCAGAAUACAUUUUUAAUAAUCGUGAAAUAAAUAUCACUUAUUGUUCAGUAAUUUCAUCUGUUGUUAUUAUUGUUAUUGAUCGUAACCAAUCAAUAAAC